CACGUCAGCGCGAGUUGCUGACGUGGCAGUAAAUCGCGUCCUUGAGGGCGCGAUUUGUUGCCAUGUCAGCAACUCGCGCUGACGUGG
This is a non-coding RNA of Gossypium raimondii (Peruvian cotton), 87 nucleotides long. The record is from Rfam. Lineage: Eukaryota; Viridiplantae; Streptophyta; Magnoliopsida; Malvales; Malvaceae.